Long non-coding RNA from Felis catus (domestic cat), 269 nucleotides. RefSeq lists it as uncharacterized. The transcript is spliced from 2 exons. Lineage: Eukaryota; Metazoa; Chordata; Mammalia; Carnivora; Felidae. The record is from RefSeq and is a predicted model, not a curated record.
UAUGACUUCAUUGUAGGAUGGAUCCGAAUAAGAAAUUAAUCUCCAAUUUCUUCACAAAUAUUUGUUUGAAGAGUGGGGAGGAGUUUUUCUGUCUUCUGUUUUAUGAACACAAGGAAGUAUUUCAUCUCUAGGCAUAUGGCAGCCAUCUCCUUACUGUGAGGAUAACCAAGUUUGAGUGGAGGAAAGGCAGCAUAUGAUGGAGAGAUAGAAUCUGUCUGAGACCCUGAUGAAUGUUUGGAAAUACUAAAUAAAACACUCCUAGAAACUGA